GGGGCCGACCUGGUUUCGACGCGGGUACGGAGUUGGCGCAGGGCAUGCCGAGGACCAGUCCCCUCGUAAAUCCAUCUGGAAACAAAGUAACUGCGAACGACGAAACGUACGCACUCGCCGCUUAAUACCGGUGAGCUUCGCAACGGUUGGCCGAUGGGCCGGGUCUGAGGGGCAACCCGAGGGCUGCGAAGUCAUUCACAUUGGCUCGCUCUGAGUCGGGUCACUCGACCCAGGGCUAAAUCAAGUGACUCGGGGUUCAGGUAGCGUGCUGCUGCGCGACCUGGGCCCUUAAAACCCAAAUCAGACAGCUACGCAUGUAGAACUGUCCGGCAAUGGCUUGCGGACGCGGGUUCGAUUCCCGCCGGCUCCACCA
Molecule: transfer-messenger RNA, 373 nt
Filed under: Burkholderiales
Lineage: Bacteria; Pseudomonadati; Pseudomonadota; Betaproteobacteria
Also listed under: 1 other name
Description: Rhizobacter sp016735515 Standard tmRNA
Rfam family: transfer-messenger RNA
About the family: Bacterial tmRNA, also known as 10Sa RNA or SsrA, is named for its dual tRNA and mRNA-like properties. Its role is to liberate the mRNA from a stalled ribosome. To accomplish this part of the tmRNA is used as a reading frame that ends in a translation stop signal.
Source: RNAcentral